UCACAUCUAGCACCCAGCACACGCUUGCGGUGCAGGAAGAGCUGCGUCGGGAGGCUGUGGCCGCUGCGCUGCGAGAGCUUGACCAAGCGGAGGUUUCGGCAGUGCGGCAGAUCUUGGACAUGCUUCAGGAUUCCCAGCUGCCAGAUGACGCGGUGCCGGGGGUGCUGAUGCAGCAAUCCUCCGACGCGGAUGCGGGUGU
RNAcentral lists this non-coding RNA (199 nucleotides) under Symbiodinium sp. Mp. Lineage: Eukaryota; Dinophyceae; Suessiales; Symbiodiniaceae. The record is from RNAcentral.